Molecule: long non-coding RNA, 1782 nt
Organism: Triticum aestivum (bread wheat)
Lineage: Eukaryota; Viridiplantae; Streptophyta; Magnoliopsida; Poales; Poaceae
Exons: 4
Source: RefSeq, a predicted model, not a curated record
GUGGCGCAGGGUGAAGAAUAAGUAAUUCCUCGCCCUAGUCGGCAGCGAGUCGGAGUUCCAUGCCCGAUCUCAUCCCUGUGGCGUGGCUAAGGCUGAGUCGAGUCUGAUUCCAUCCGCACACGAUCUCCCUUUCUACGAACUGUUUCCCCAUGACCCUGUUCCCUCGUUCGUGUUUUAAUCAACCCUCUACUGGUGAGUGGUGAGCGGAAGGUUUGACGGCGACCAGCGGAUGUCAGCUCGCAUGGUGGUCGGCGGGUUAGAUCGACGGCAAUUUCGAUGCCCGCAUCGGCGUCAUCAGCAGGCGUAUGUCCUCCAUGUCAGCCGCGCGGCGGGUGGUUGUCGUCGCGGCGCUGCAAUUGACCGUCGUGGCUGCGAUGGUUCGAGCACGGUUGACAUGGAUUGCAGGAGGAUUAGGAUCCCGCUGUCCCUGUUUAAGGUUCGUGGUCCUCCCCUAUUUAUUCUCACGCGCAUGGACCCAACUGGCGUGAUGCCAUUCUUCUCCUUGCAUGCGGCUGCAAGUCCCUCCUCUUACACCAUGUCGAAUUCUAGUUUUUUCUUGCCACCUUACUCCUACUAGGUAACAUCUACUUACUGAUGUGAUUGCUUCCAAGAUUUCAGUGCUUAUGUGUCCUCCGUAAUUUCCCUUUGGAUCUCAUUCGUGCUGGCUCACCACUUGCAUUUCUUGCCCACGAGGUGUUUGUUUUAAUGUCUGAGUGGGAACUGCCGAUGAAAAUGUGCUCAAAGAGGCGCUUCUACCAAGGUGACGCACAGUAAUAGAUUGAUGGUAUUGCUUCUACGAUCUUACGAGUACUGAAUGCCAUGUUCAAGAUUGAGGAGAUAGAUAAGUUCCUUGUGUACAAAGCUUCGGAAAACCUCAUGCCGGCCUGCCGGCCAAUGUGGGAUCUGUAGUGCCGUCGUUGCUCCUCGUUCUUAGGGUCUUCACUGCUGGAUCUCUUUGGUAUUGCUCUCUCUCCAGUAAUUUACACGGGCUUACUGUGGCGUCAACAGGAUGAAGCUUGGUUGAGAGAAGCCCUGUAAUUUGCAAAUAUUUCUGGAGCUCUCACCGGGUCAGACAGAGGAGCUACUCAUGCACAGCAAGUGGCUAAUACCCUAACCGAUGUACUCCCUGUUCUACUAAAUCAGCGACGAGUAAUAUGGAACGGAGGGAGUAGCUUCUUAAGUCAGAGAGGCACACAGUUCUCAUCUUGUCUUCUAUGUAAUGUUCCGCCUAAUACACAUUUUGCAGACAGGCACCAAUGUUCUUAUUCAAUGUGUCUACGCACGGCAAACUUGAUGGCACUGUCUCGCUAGGCAUGAUCCUGAGGCCAAAUAUUUGGGAUAAUCUGGAAGACUGUUGGAUACACAUGGCAGAUUGCUGAAGGCAGGUCGAUUCUUUAGUUACGCUCACAUGUUGGAUCUUGUGGAAGCAAAAGAAUGCAAGAGUGCAGCACAAUGUUAGUGAUCUUGUGGACUGAAUCAAGGAUGAUUACAAACUCUGGAAAAGGGCUAGGGCGGAGGGAGCUGAACCAAUAGAGUAGUUAGCAUUGUGUUAGUUGGAGGGAGUAUAUCUGUUUUUUCUAUAAAACUAUAAAACUCGGGUAUGCAAAUCGUCUACUCUUGAAGAAUAAUAGUACUAGGAUAGUUUUAAGUUUCCUUUUCUGUACUAUCAUAAAAAAUGGACUCGGGUUCAAUUAUAUUAGAAUAAUUCAACCUGGCUGUUUGGUGCCGUGUCGGUGUUCCAAACAAGGUGCAAGAUGGCAUAAUGUAUUUUACCUUCUAACU